Molecule: ribosomal RNA, 424 nt
Filed under: uncultured Glomeraceae
Lineage: Eukaryota; Fungi; Glomeromycota; Glomeromycetes; Glomerales; Glomeraceae
Description: SSU rRNA
Rfam family: Eukaryotic small subunit ribosomal RNA
Source: RNAcentral
GGAGGUAGUGGACAAUAAAUAACAAUACAGGGUUCUUUUGGAUCUUGUAAUUGGAAUGAGUACAAUUUAAAUCUCUUAACGAGGAACAAUUGGAGGGCAAGUCUGGUGCCAGCAGCCGCGGUAAUUCCAGCUCCAAUAGCGUAUAUUAAAGUUGUUGCAGUUAAAAAGCUCGUAGUUGAAUUUCGGGAUCAAUGUUUCGGUCAUGCCGUUGGUAUGUACUGAUAUUAUUGGUUUCUCACCUUCUAAAGAACCGUAAUGCCAUUAAUUUGGUGUCACGGGGAAUUAGGACUGUUACCUUGAAAAAAUUAGAGUGUUUAAAGCAGGCUCACGCUUGAAUACAUUAGCAUGGAAUAAUGAAAUAGGACAUCCGAUUCUAUUUUGUUGGUUUCUAGGAUCGAUGUAAUGAUUAAUAGGGAUAGUUGGG